GAUGAAGAACGUAGCGAAAUGCGAUAAGUAAUGUGAAUUGCAGAAUUCAGUGAAUCAUCGAAUCUUUGAACGCACAUUGCGCCCGCCAGUAUUCUGGCGGGCAUGCCUGUUCGAGCGCCAUUACAACCCUCAGGCCCCCGGGCCUGGCGUUGGGGAUCGGCGGAGCCCCCCGUGGGCACACGCCGUCCCCCAAAUACAGUGGCGGUCCCGCCGCAGCUUCCAUCGCGUAGUAGCUAACACCUCGCGACUGGAGAGCGGCGCGGCCACGCCGUAAAACACCCAACUCUUCUGAAGUUGACCUCGAAUCAGGUAGGAAUACCCGCUGAACUUAAGCAUAUCAAUAAGCGGAGGA
RNAcentral lists this unclassified non-coding RNA (352 nucleotides) under soil metagenome. RNAcentral's name for it is "partial contains 5.8S ribosomal RNA, internal transcribed spacer 2, and large subunit ribosomal RNA". The stretch from base 1 to 120 matches the Rfam family "5.8S ribosomal RNA", at positions 35 to 154 of the family's 154-position model. The record is from RNAcentral.